Non-coding RNA from Sus scrofa (pig), 3432 nucleotides. NCBI's taxonomy places the organism in Eukaryota, Metazoa, Chordata, Mammalia, Artiodactyla, Suidae. The record is from RefSeq and is a predicted model, not a curated record.
UAGAAAAUGGCAAAAAGACAAAAAAAAAAAAAAAAAAAAAAAAAUUCUAGUUUGUGCUAAGUACUUAGUAGCUAGAAUUGAAUUAAUUAACAUAAGAGUUCUACCAAGUCAUUAUACCAGCUUUGCAUUUGCAGAACUAUUCAAAAAUGGGACUAAAUUAAAGUAUCAUCUGAGUAUUCAUGAUUGACAAUAUUAAAAAUUGAUUUGUUUCUUGUAUAAUUGGACUAAAAGGUGUGUGUGUGUGAGAGAGAGAGAGAGCGAGUGGGUGUGGUAUUUUGGUAAUGGCUUGUUAGUAGGAUAAGUUUCUUAUAUCAUGGGGCAUUCUCAUUUGGGUAUAUCUCAUCAAGAUACAUGUUUGUAAACUCUUUGAGGGAAGGGACUUGGUGUGUCUUGUUCAUAGACUCCUGGUAUAGUUCCUAACACAUAGAUGUGCUCAAAGAAUUUGAUGAAUGAAUGAAAUAACUUUUUAUGACACUCAAAUCAGGCAACCUCAAGUCCCAUAGUGUUUCACUUUUUGGAGGGUCCUGAAUAACAGUAAGAUUGUAGGAGAGUCCUUACUAACUUCAAGAAAUUCCACUGAGUCCUUUUACUUUUUUUUUGGUUUCACCUGUGGCGUGUGGAAAUUCCGGGGCCAGGGUCAAAUCUCUCCACAAGAGAACUCCAAGCCUAUUUGCUUUUGACAGAGCCUACAAUUUUUUUCUUCUCUGAUAGUCUUCACUUUAGGACAAAGAAACUGUUGUCAUUGCCUUGCUCAUGUUAAUAAAAAUUAAUCAGUGAGAUUCCUUCUGCCCAUCAUUUCACUUCUCAUUAGCAUGGAGCUCAGGUAGCACUAGAGAGGCAUUCUGGUGGAUUAGUCCAGCCAGCUCUUCAGGUCAUUAGUGCUACAUCUAAAGCUCUGGGGAGGGAGCAGCCUUUUGCUCACUCAAAAGUGUGUAGGGUUUUGACUCUCUGAUAUAGCUUCAGUGUUAAUGGAGAGAAGUUGGAUGACUCAAAUAAUGUGCCAGACCCUUCCAUGUGUUAUCUCAAAUACUGCUUCCCAACAACAUUAGAAGUUAAGUACUAUCAUCAUCCCUGUUUUACAGAAGCACAAAGAAGUUAAGUACUUGCCCAAGUUCACACCAAGAUUUGAACCCAGGUAGUCUUACUUCAGAGACUACGUUUUUAUCCGUGGCCAUUGCCAACCUCAUGCUCAUUCAUUUGUGCUGGGACACUCAUGCUUUAUCCAUAGUACUUCUCCACCAGCAGUUUUGUAAAGAUCAGAGGAAGUGAUGAGCUCAGAGAGCAGAGUCGGGCACAAGAAGGAGGAUACUAUUGGGUGCCCAUCAGUUGCUGUGCCUGUUAUGGCUUAGGUAAUUUGCCUUGCUACCAGUGUUUCUCUACCAUAAAAAUAUUAUGAGACAAACAGAUAUUUGCCUGCCUUGAUCACUCACCAUACCUAGAGAAGUGGCUGGCACCUGCUAACAAUUGAAUAAAUGCAACUCGUGGAAUAAAUGAUGGCCAUGUCAUAAGCAGCCCUAAGGAGAGGCCCAGGUGGCAAGAAACUGAGGCUUCCAGUCCUCUGUACAUGAAUGAGCAUGGAUGGAGAUUCUCCAGCCUAGUCAGCCUUCGGGUGACUGAAGUCCUGGCAGACCUCCUAGCUGUAGUCUCUUGAGAGCUCUUGAGCCAGAGGCACCCAACUAAGCCACUCCUGGAUUUCUGAUACACAGAAACGGACUGGUAUAUCAAGAAGAGAAAUGCUGCAGAAAUAUGUACUACAGUGACAUUUACCCAGAAGACAUAGGAAGCUUGAAAAUAAAAUCCAAAGCCACUCACAAUUGCCCUGGGAGAAUGAACAGUGAGAAGCACCAGCAAAAUCAAUCCAAGUGUACUGGGAAGUCACUGACCCUGCUGAAUGUAGUUUGGCUUAUUGGGUUGUGCCACUGCGAGUCUUUUGGAUUUCAGUAUAGAAGGUGAAGAUGCUUCAGUUUCUAAAGAUACCUUGAAGCUAUGACAAAACGGAAGCCCUGGACUGGAUGGCCCUGUCUUCUAAGUCUCUCUCUCUCAGCACCCUCUUCAAAUGUUGGGCCCCAUCUGCCUGUGUAGCUUUCAUUUGUGUCACUGGAUGUUAAAUUCUCCAAAGAUUGCUUGUCUCCAGACCACCCUCCCAACCCAGCAUCUGGUACCCAGUCCCUAGUUGCUCAGUGUUUGUUGAAUAAAUGAAUGUUGACCAUACCUUAAACUCUGGCUUUAAGGAGUGCGGACAUGAGAGAGAAUUUGCAAAUACCUUAAUUUCCAGGUCACAUGAUAUUAACAAAUACGAACUCAUUUCUGGAUUAAAAGAAAGCAUGUGUGUUAAUUAUUAGGCAAAGGUGACGUAAGCAUGUGUUCUCCUGCCUUCGCUCUUGACUUCUCAGUCAGCCUGGGCUAGAAAUAGAGAGGUGUGUGAGCAGUGAGCCUGUAGCUCUAAUAUCGGCUCAGUCUGUGGGUCUGCCGGUGUCUGAGAUGGUGCCAUGAUAGGUUGUAGCUGGCUGUUGGGGAUAACAAGAACCAUGUGGCAGCCGUGGCUGAUUCCUGGUGGGGUUUUGCCCCAUCUCCCAUAAACCCCACAGCAUGUGAUCUCCCCAAAAGAGCCCUGUACUGGGUUCUGUUCGGGGGAGGGAAGCUAGAUUCCUCCUCAACAGAUGUCACCAUAAUUAGAUAACUCAUUAUAUCAAGGAAUAAGGAAAGGAGAUUGACGUGGAUACAAAUGCGAACAUAUUGAUAGCUCUUCUGCAUGUGAGUUUGUGCAAUCUUGGAAAAUGAUUUCUUGGACAAGGCUCAAGGGAUGAGUCAGCGGUUGGAGCCUGGGGAGAUUUUCCACAAUGAAAUUCUAGUCCCAGUCAAGUACCCUAAGAGCUUGCCACCCUGUAAGACCAUUCCCAGGGGCAACCAGGGCUCCAAGCCAGUGUGGGUGUGUGCCUGUGAGUGUGGGAGAACCCCAGAAGGUAGUCACGCCUGGGGGUGAAGGAGGGAAAAGGAGAAACUCACUGGCUAAGGCAGGCUGUGUGGGCAGUAGCUGACACUGAUCCACAAAGUCCUUGGAACUCCUGGAUCGCCUUCCUGCAUCUGAGUUGGAGAGCCUCCCUGGGGAGGUCACCCCCUGGCUGGAAUUAAGUGUCCUUCACAAGUAUUCCCAUGUGACCCUGCUCUUUCUGUUGGAGCACCCAUCAUUCUGUAAUGUCCUUGCCUCUUCUCCCUGUGGCAAAAUGUGAGGAUUUGACUACUUGAUCCUUUCCAGCUCGAACAUUCUAAAGUUGGAAAUGUCUUUUUAAAAAUGGGGAAGAGGAAGGAAACUGUGAGUUGACACAGAGGAUAUGUCUUAUCCUUCUCUGGUCAUUUCUUAUCCAUCGUUUUCCAACAACCUCCUGAGGUUGACCUUCCAGUUUCCUGAAGGCAGUGAUCACUUCAAUCACU